GGCAAGGGACAAGGGGAUGCCCAGGACUCAGGGCUUCCAGGAGCUGUUCACCAGCUUUCCAGACUAGAUGGCCCACCUUUGCUGGGCUACCCUUCCAGGGAACUGCUGACACUACCCAGAGAUACUACCCAAGUCUCCGUCCAGCCCAGACCCCUCAUGGAGCCCUGCUCUUAUGGAGCUGCCACAGUGGAUCGAGGACAGCCAACAGAUAGGCCCUAUAAGUAAGAGAUGGAGACAAAGAGAUUCUGCUUCCCAGAGACUUCCAGACUCACGGAAGUCUGGCUACCUCACUGAGCCACCUGGGCAACACGAGUGGCAAGCAGGACCACUGGGCACGAUGGAGGGAAAGGUGGGGACUUGGGUCCUUCCAUUUAAGCCAAGGUCCCCAGGGAGGGCUGAGUUCCUGCUGUAUUCCUGCUGGGCGUCCUCCUUAGGUCAACAGAAGGCCCAAGGAGGCUCAUCAGGGUCCUGGGCAUUUGGUCGGCAGCCUUGACAGCCUGGCUGGUCAGGGAUAGCCUCUGUGGACUCCAGCCAGACUCUGGAAGGCCAAGACCAAGGGGAGAGGCUCCUUGCUUUGGCCUGAGGGGUGAGGUAGGAUCAACCAGAUGAUGAGCGCCCUAGAGGAUGAGACCCAGAUGGCAGGAAAGGAACAUAGCCUCUGGGGUGACUCACACAGGAGUCUGUAAACCCGAGGUACCAAACCAGGGCUUCAGGAGGGGUGCUCCAGAACCCUGGGUGUGAGGUGUCAACCUGCAGGUUCUCAUCAUCCACUCCUUGACCUUCUCUCACUUUGUAAACUAGGAAGGCAAAGUCUUCCCCGCACC
Long non-coding RNA from Canis lupus familiaris (dog), 824 nucleotides. RefSeq lists it as uncharacterized. The transcript has 3 exons. Lineage: Eukaryota; Metazoa; Chordata; Mammalia; Carnivora; Canidae. The record is from RefSeq and is a predicted model, not a curated record.